Molecule: ribosomal RNA, 532 nt
Filed under: Microtus thomasi (Thomas's pine vole)
Lineage: Eukaryota; Metazoa; Chordata; Mammalia; Rodentia; Cricetidae
Description: partial 16S ribosomal RNA
Rfam family: Bacterial large subunit ribosomal RNA
Source: RNAcentral
GAGGCCUGCCUGCCCAGUGACAAACGUUCAACGGCCGCGGUAUCCUGACCGUGCAAAGGUAGCAUAAUCACUUGUUCCUUAAUUGGGGACUGGAAUGAAUGGCCUCACGAGGAUUCAACUGUCUCUUACCUCUAAUCAGUGAAAUUGACCUCCCCGUGAAGAGGCGGGGAUACAACAACAAGACGAGAAGACCCUAUGGAGCUUUAAUUUUCUGUCUUAACUACUAAAUAACUAACCCUACUGGGAUAAAAAAAGAGAAAUAAGCCAGUAAUUUCGGUUGGGGUGACCUCGGAGAAUAAGACAACCUCCGAAUGAUUUUAACCAAGACAAACAAGUCAAAGUAUUAAAAAUCAAAUUGACCCAAUUCAUUUGAUCAACGGACCAAGUUACCCUAGGGAUAACAGCGCAAUCCUAUUCAAGAGUCCAUAUCGACAAUUAGGGUUUACGACCUCGAUGUUGGAUCAGGACAUCCCAAUGGUGUAGCAGCUAUUAAUGGUUCGUUUGUUCAACGAUUAAAGUCCUACGUGAUCUG